AAAGUCAAAUUACAAGCAACCUUUUGAAUGUUCAUACAAUAUCACUUUCCUUUUUCUUUUCAAUAUAGGAAUUAGGCUCACCAAGAGCCCAAUCCUAAUAUAUUUAGGAAAGAUAUAGAAAUUUGAAUUAUAAAUAGGAAUCAGACUUUCCUUUCCUUUCCAGGAAUAAAAAUUACGGUUAAACACUAUAUAAUCCGUAACAUGCUUGAGGAAUAAUCAAGCAAUUUAUUCCAACAUCAUUCUUUUCUCAAUAGGAAUUUUAGAGAUGGAUCUGGAAUAUGAGAAGCAGAAAACUAUAAUCCAUGAAACUAAGGAAGCAGUUGAGAAGAUCGUAAAUAUGCGGUUGAGUAAUGUUCCAACACAAUCUCGAGAGUUCAAGUUUAUUAAGUACAAACCUAAUUCCAAGCAAUCUGCCGCAGCUUUUAAGGAGAGGAUUAUUAAGAUGGUGGAGAUGGCCGUGGAUCCAGUGGAGCCGCCCAAAUUCAAGCACAAGAAGAUCCCUAGAGCCGCCUCUGGUUCACCACCUGUGCCCGUUAUGCAUUCUCCUCCACGUCCUGUUACCGUGAAAGAUCAACAGGAUUGGAAGAUUCCGCCUUGUAUAUCAAACUGGAAGAAUCCCAAAGGUUACACAAUCCCACUUGAUAAGCGUCUUGUUGCUGUUAAUGAGGCCGUAAAGAUCAAUGAUAAUUUCGCAAAAAUAUCAGAGGCUCUAUAUGUUGCAGAAGAGAAAGCCAGACAAGCCGCUGCAAUGCGGGAAAAGAUUCAGAGAGAGAUGAUAAUGAAAGAGGAGGAAAGAAAAGAGAUGCAACUUCAGGAGUUGGCUCGCAAGGCAAGAACUGACAGAACUACUGUUGUGGAUUAUGAUAGUGCAACAGAAGAAGCGCGAUUAAAGAGAAAGAAAAUAUGUGAGGAGAGACGUCGGGAGAGGAGAUUCGAGGCAAAAGAUGCUAAAAAGAGUAAGAUAAGCAGAGAUAGAGACGGUGAGGUUAGCGAAAAAGUGGCUCUUGGGAUGGCUUCUAGUACUAGAAAAUCAAGAGGAGAGGAAGUUAUGUAUGACCAGAGAUUGUUCAACCAGGAAAAAGGGAUGGAUUCUGGAUUUGGAUUUGCCAAUGAUGAUGCCUACAAUGUAUAUGAUAAAGGCUUAUUUACUACUCAGCCUACUCUUUCUACUCUAUACAAACCCAAGAAAGACAAUGUUGAUUCCGAUAUGUAUGGAGUUGCUGAUGAGCAAAUCGUCAACACACAUCGGUUUAAGCCUGACAAGGCAUUUGCUGGAACAUAUGAGAGGGCUGGUCCAAGUGUGGAAUUUGACAAGGAAGCUGAUCCAUUUGGUUUGGACCAGUUCUUUAAUGAAACCAUGGCAAAUAUUGGGGUAGUGGAGGAACCAUGAAGACCAGUCAAGGGCUGCUUUUAAUACCAACUUGGCAAUGUAAGAGCUUUAGAAUGCUUGCUGGUGACGCUCGGAUUACCCCAGAUGUGUUACUUUUGGCUGAGGUUGCCAGAGCUAUUAUUGAAUCCUAAGGACAAGGCAAAGGCGCACCUAACAUAUCCUAAGUGGCAGUCGGUUUUAAUGCCUAUUCAUGGGUUCUUGACCUUAAAUGUUGUACACAAUCAUAUGUUUAAAAGACCUUUCCACUAUAUUAUAACGAAAGUCGUAAAAAAAGUAGCCACGGGCAAAGAAAUCAGGAUUGGACAAGAAUAAAUUUGCAAUUUGCUAAACUCAACAAUCAUCUUGUUGUAAAUUGGCAAUACACAGUCUAAUCGUCUGGUUCUAAACAUUAUAUGGAAAACUCUAACCACUCAGGCACUCAUGACUCUCACCAAUGUACCAUGGGUCACAAAAGAGAAACUAAAAGCACAAAUGAAGGCAUUUAUUACUUCUCUGGAAGCAAAUUUGUGAACAAGAAAUAGAGAAUAACGUAUCAUGUA
Molecule: RNA transcript, 1929 nt
Organism: Nicotiana attenuata
Lineage: Eukaryota; Viridiplantae; Streptophyta; Magnoliopsida; Solanales; Solanaceae
Gene name: SNW/SKI-interacting protein-like
Exons: 3
Source: RefSeq, a predicted model, not a curated record